Molecule: ribosomal RNA, 253 nt
Filed under: uncultured prokaryote
Description: partial 16S ribosomal RNA
Rfam family: Bacterial small subunit ribosomal RNA
Source: RNAcentral
ACGAAGGGGGCGAGCGUUGUUCGGAUUUACUGGGCGUAAAGGGCGCGCAGGCGGCUCAUUUUGUCAGGCGUGAAAGCCCCGGGCUCAACCUGGGAAUGGCAUUUGAUACUCUGAGGCUGGAGUACGGGAGAGGAGAGUGGAAUUCCCAGUGUAGAGGUGAAAUUCGUAGAUAUUGGGAAGAACACCGGUGGCGAUGGCGGCUCUCUGGACCGUAACUGACGCUGAGGCGCGAAAGCGUGGGGAGCAAACAGGA